Molecule: long non-coding RNA, 410 nt
Organism: Heterocephalus glaber (naked mole-rat)
Lineage: Eukaryota; Metazoa; Chordata; Mammalia; Rodentia; Bathyergidae
Source: Ensembl
AUUCUUAAUUUCAAAGUCCUACCAUGAGCCCCCACCACUUCCUCAGGUCAAUUGGAGCAUGUGAGUCACUUGUACCUAUGUACAGGUGUGGAGCCAGGUUAACAUGAUUGGCAUGGGUUAGUCAGGGGCACUGUUGUCUGGGCUCCUGCUUCACUGUCUGCUCAGCCAUUUUCUCAAGCUGGACUGUGCUUUGGAAAUGUUACAGAAACAAGCAUCACCACCUCCCUCUUGUCACUUUCUGUUGGAGCCCUCCUGCUGGAAUGAGGUACUCCCAAAAGUGGAUCCUUUCAGCUCUGAGCCACCAUGAGAUUACCAGAUCUCCUCCACCACAUGCUUCUGUGAUGUGCUGCCCUACCACAGACCCAGAGGAUCAUGGACUGAAAGCUCUGAAACCAUGAGUGAAAAGAAAC